RNAcentral lists this transfer RNA (123 nucleotides) under Capnocytophaga granulosa. Its description in RNAcentral is "tRNA-Xxx". It matches the Rfam family "tRNA". From Rfam's summary of the family: Transfer RNA (tRNA) molecules are approximately 80 nucleotides in length. Their secondary structure includes four short double-helical elements and three loops (D, anti-codon, and T loops). The record is from RNAcentral. Lineage: Bacteria; Pseudomonadati; Bacteroidota; Flavobacteriia; Flavobacteriales; Flavobacteriaceae.
AGGACAGUAGCUCAAUUGGGUAGAGCAGGUCAAUAGUAAGAUUAUUCUCCUUGAGGAGGUCAAUUACUAUUUACUUCUGAGCUUCUAACUCCCUGGUUGCGGGUUCGAGUCCCGUCUGUCCUA